RNAcentral lists this unclassified non-coding RNA (327 nucleotides) under soil metagenome. Its description in RNAcentral is "partial contains 5.8S ribosomal RNA, internal transcribed spacer 2, and large subunit ribosomal RNA". The stretch from base 1 to 120 matches the Rfam family "5.8S ribosomal RNA", at positions 35 to 154 of the family's 154-position model. The record is from RNAcentral.
GAUGAAGAACGUAGCAAAAUGCGAUAAGUAAUGUGAAUUGCAGAAUUCAGUGAAUCAUCGAAUCUUUGAACGCACAUUGCGCCCGCUGGUAUUCCGGCGGGCAUGCCUGUUCGAGCGUCAUUUUGACCACUCCCGCUUGCGGGGUCUUGGGCCUUCGCCUCUGGGCGGGCCUUAAAAUCAGUGGCGGUGCCGUCCGGCUCUAAGCGUAGUAAAUCUCCUCGCUAUAGGGUUCCGGAGGGAUGCUGGCCAACAACCCCCAACUUUUAAGGUUGACCUCGGAUCAGGUAGGGAUACCCGCUGAACUUAAGCAUAUCAAUAAGCGGAGGA